UACGGAGGGGGCUAGCGUUAUUCGGAAUUACUGGGCGUAAAGCGCACGUAGGCGGACCGGAAAGUCAGAGGUGAAAUCCCAGGGCUCAACCUUGGAACUGCCUUUGAAACUCCUGGUCUUGAGGUCGAGAAAGGUGAGUGGAAUUCCGAGUGUAGAGGUGAAAUUCGUAGAUAUUCGGAAGAACACCAAUGGCGAAAACAGCUCACUAGCUCGAUACUGGCGCUGAGGUGCGAAAGCGUGGGGAGCAAACAGG
This 253-nucleotide ribosomal RNA is filed under the name uncultured bacterium. Its description in RNAcentral is "partial 16S ribosomal RNA". It matches the Rfam family "Bacterial small subunit ribosomal RNA", at positions 524 to 776 of the family's 1533-position model. The record is from RNAcentral.